This 305-nucleotide ribosomal RNA is filed under the name uncultured bacterium. RNAcentral's name for it is "partial 16S ribosomal RNA". It matches the Rfam family "Bacterial small subunit ribosomal RNA", at positions 333 to 637 of the family's 1533-position model. The record is from RNAcentral.
UUAGUCCUACGGGGGGCAGCAGUGGGGGGUAUUGGACAAUGGGGGGAACCCUGAUCCAGCGACGCCGCGUGAGUGAAGAAGUAUUUCGGUAUGUAAACCUCUUUUGUCGGGGAGCAAAGAGAGUCACGUGUGGCUCAUUGAGAGUACCCGAAGAAAAAGCAUCGGCUAACUCCGUGCCAGCAGCCGCGGUAAUACGGAGGAUGCGAGCGUUAUCCGGAUUUAUUGGGUUUAAAGGGUGCGCAGGCGGAGGUGCAAGUCAGUGGUCAAAUUGCGGGGCUCAACCCCGUACUGCCGUUGAAACUGCA